RNAcentral lists this ribosomal RNA (500 nucleotides) under uncultured bacterium. RNAcentral describes it as "partial 16S ribosomal RNA". It matches the Rfam family "Bacterial small subunit ribosomal RNA", at positions 30 to 523 of the family's 1533-position model. The record is from RNAcentral.
AUUGAACGCUGGCGGCAUGCCUUACACAUGCAAGUCGAACGGCAGCACGGGUGCUUGCACCUGGUGGCGAGUGGCGAACGGGUGAGUAAUAUAUCGGAACGUACCUUAUUGUGGGGGAUAACGCAGCGAAAGCUGUGCUAAUACCGCAUAAUCCCUAAGGGGGAAAGCGGGGGACCGUAAGGCCUCGCGCAAUUAGAGCGGCCGAUACCUGAUUAGCUAGUUGGUGAGGUAAAGGCUCACCAAGGCAACGAUCAGUAGCUGGUCUGAGAGGACGAUAAGCACACUGGGACUGAGACACGGCCCAGACUCCUACGGGAGGCAGCAGUGGGGAAUUUUGGACAAGGGGGGCAACCCUGAUCCAGCAAUGCCGCGUGAGUGAAGAAGGCCUUCGGGUUGUAAAGCUCUUUUGUCAGGGAAGAAACAGCAGCUCUAACACAGUAUGCGAAUGACGGUACCUGAAGAAUAAGCACCGGCUAACUACGUGCCAGCAGCCGCCGUAA